RNAcentral lists this non-coding RNA (88 nucleotides) under human gut metagenome. The record is from RNAcentral.
AUAAGCAGGGGAGCUUGACCGCUGAGAGGAAGGCAGAACGCCUUCGACCCUUAGACCUGAUUUGGAUAAUGCCAACGCAGGGAGAAGU